Molecule: ribosomal RNA, 539 nt
Filed under: uncultured bacterium
Lineage: Bacteria
Description: bacterial SSU rRNA
Rfam family: Bacterial small subunit ribosomal RNA
Source: RNAcentral
GAGGAAUAUUGGUCAAUGGGCGCGAGCCUGAACCAGCCAAGUAGCGUGCAGGAUGACGGCCCUAUGGGUUGUAAACUGCUUUUGUAUGGGGAUAAAGUCAAUCACGUGUGAUUGUUUGCAGGUACCAUACGAAUAAGGACCGGCUAAUUCCGUGCCAGCAGCCGCGGUAAUACGGAAGGUCCGGGCGUUAUCCGGAUUUAUUGGGUUUAAAGGGAGCGUAGGCCGGAGAUUAAGUGUGUUGUGAGAUGUAGACGCUCAACGUCUGACUUGCAGCGCAUACUGGUUUUCUUGAGUACGCACAACGUUGGCGGAAUUCGUCGUGUAGCGGUGAAAUGCUUAGAUAUGACGAAGAACUCCGAUUGCGAAGGCAGCUGACGGGAGCGCAACUGACGCUUAAGCUCGAAGGUGCGGGUAUCGAACAGGAUUAGAUACCCUGGUAGUCCGCACAGUAAACGAUGGAUGCCCGCUGUUGGUACCUGGUAUCAGCGGCUAAGCGAAAGCAUUAAGCAUCCCACCUGGGGAGUACGCCGGCAACGGUG